Molecule: long non-coding RNA, 376 nt
Organism: Sebastes umbrosus (honeycomb rockfish)
Lineage: Eukaryota; Metazoa; Chordata; Actinopteri; Perciformes; Sebastidae
Exons: 3
Source: RefSeq, a predicted model, not a curated record
GAAACACAAGACGAGAGAGGGAAAGGGGUGGCGGUGGCGAGGGAACACCUACCGUCCAGAGGGUUGGUAAGGCCACUGCUGCUCCAGUCGAACUGGACGGGUGGGAGCGACUCCUGCUGGAGGAACGAGAAAGAAGGUGGAGCAGGCAGACGACUCACCAGGCUGGCGGCGUACAUGGGCACGAUGACCGGCUGCUUCUUCUGUCCCGUGAACAGCUGCACACAUUAAAGCAGCAGUGAGCUGGCUGGCGUCAGAGGGUCCGGCGGGGACUCACAAUGUUCCGGGUGUCGAUGCCGAGGCAGCAGAGUAGUGCUUUGUUGCAGUAGGAGCCCCCCCACUGGUAUCUGAGACCCAACGCCUCGUGGAUGUCCCGAAG